UUAAGCGACUAAGCGUACACGGUGGAUGCCCUGGCAGUCAGAGGCGAUGAAGGACGUGCUAAUCUGCGAUAAGCGUCGGUAAGGUGAUAUGAACCGUUAUAACCGGCGAUUUCCGAAUGGGGAAACCCAGUGUGUUUCGACACACUAUCAUUAACUGAAUCCAUAGGUUAAUGAGGCGAACCGGGGGAACUGAAACAUCUAAGUACCCCGAGGAAAAGAAAUCAACCGAGAUUCCCCCAGUAGCGGCGAGCGAACGGGGAGCAGCCCAGAGCCUGAAUCAGUGUGUGUGUUAGUGGAAGCGUCUGGAAAGGCGCGCGAUACAGGGUGACAGCCCCGUACACAAAAAUGCACAUGCUGUGAGCUCGAUGAGUAGGGCGGGACACGUGGUAUCCUGUCUGAAUAUGGGGGGACCAUCCUCCAAGGCUAAAUACUCCUGACUGACCGAUAGUGAACCAGUACCGUGAGGGAAAGGCGAAAAGAACCCCGGCGAGGGGAGUGAAAAAGAACCUGAAACCGUGUACGUACAAGCAGUGGGAGCACAGAGCAAUCUGUGUGACUGCGUACCUUUUGUAUAAUGGGUCAGCGACUUAUAUUCUGUAGCAAGGUUAACCGAAUAGGGGAGCCGAAGGGAAACCGAGUCUUAACUGGGCGUUAAGUUGCAGGGUAUAGACCCGAAACCCGGUGAUCUAGCCAUGGGCAGGUUGAAGGUUGGGUAACACUAACUGGAGGACCGAACCGACUAAUGUUGAAAAAUUAGCGGAUGACUUGUGGCUGGGGGUGAAAGGCCAAUCAAACCGGGAGAUAGCUGGUUCUCCCCGAAAGCUAUUUAGGUAGCGCCUCGUGAAUUCAUCUCCGGGGGUAGAGCACUGUUUCGGCAAGGGGGUCAUCCCGACUUACCAACCCGAUGCAAACUGCGAAUACCGGAGAAUGUUAUCACGGGAGACACACGGCGGGUGCUAACGUCCGUCGUGAAGAGGGAAACAACCCAGACCGCCAGCUAAGGUCCCAAAGUCAUGGUUAAGUGGGAAACGAUGUGGGAAGGCCCAGACAGCCAGGAUGUUGGCUUAGAAGCAGCCAUCAUUUAAAGAAAGCGUAAUAGCUCACUGGUCGAGUCGGCCUGCGCGGAAGAUGUAACGGGGCUAAACCAUGCACCGAAGCUGCGGCAGCGACGCUUAUGCGUUGUUGGGUAGGGGAGCGUUCUGUAAGCCUGUGAAGGUGUACUGUGAGGUAUGCUGGAGGUAUCAGAAGUGCGAAUGCUGACAUAAGUAACGAUAAAGCGGGUGAAAAGCCCGCUCGCCGGAAGACCAAGGGUUCCUGUCCAACGUUAAUCGGGGCAGGGUGAGUCGACCCCUAAGGCGAGGCCGAAAGGCGUAGUCGAUGGGAAACAGGUUAAUAUUCCUGUACUUGGUGUUACUGCGAAGGGGGGACGGAGAAGGCUAUGUUGGCCGGGCGACGGUUGUCCCGGUUUAAGCGUGUAGGCUGGUUUUCCAGGCAAAUCCGGAAAAUCAAGGCUGAGGCGUGAUGACGAGGCACUACGGUGCUGAAGCAACAAAUGCCCUGCUUCCAGGAAAAGCCUCUAAGCAUCAGGUAACAUCAAAUCGUACCCCAAACCGACACAGGUGGUCAGGUAGAGAAUACCAAGGCGCUUGAGAGAACUCGGGUGAAGGAACUAGGCAAAAUGGUGCCGUAACUUCGGGAGAAGGCACGCUGAUAUGUAGGUGAAGUCCCUCGCGGAUGGAGCUGAAAUCAGUCGAAGAUACCAGCUGGCUGCAACUGUUUAUUAAAAACACAGCACUGUGCAAACACGAAAGUGGACGUAUACGGUGUGACGCCUGCCCGGUGCCGGAAGGUUAAUUGAUGGGGUUAGCGCAAGCGAAGCUCUUGAUCGAAGCCCCGGUAAACGGCGGCCGUAACUAUAACGGUCCUAAGGUAGCGAAAUUCCUUGUCGGGUAAGUUCCGACCUGCACGAAUGGCGUAAUGAUGGCCAGGCUGUCUCCACCCGAGACUCAGUGAAAUUGAACUCGCUGUGAAGAUGCAGUGUACCCGCGGCAAGACGGAAAGACCCCGUGAACCUUUACUAUAGCUUGACACUGAACAUUGAGCCUUGAUGUGUAGGAUAGGUGGGAGGCUUUGAAGUGUGGACGCCAGUCUGCAUGGAGCCGACCUUGAAAUACCACCCUUUAAUGUUUGAUGUUCUAACGUUGACCCGUAAUCCGGGUUGCGGACAGUGUCUGGUGGGUAGUUUGACUGGGGCGGUCUCCUCCUAAAGAGUAACGGAGGAGCACGAAGGUUGGCUAAUCCUGGUCGGACAUCAGGAGGUUAGUGCAAUGGCAUAAGCCAGCUUGACUGCGAGCGUGACGGCGCGAGCAGGUGCGAAAGCAGGUCAUAGUGAUCCGGUGGUUCUGAAUGGAAGGGCCAUCGCUCAACGGAUAAAAGGUACUCCGGGGAUAACAGGCUGAUACCGCCCAAGAGUUCAUAUCGACGGCGGUGUUUGGCACCUCGAUGUCGGCUCAUCACAUCCUGGGGCUGAAGUAGGUCCCAAGGGUAUGGCUGUUCGCCAUUUAAAGUGGUACGCGAGCUGGGUUUAGAACGUCGUGAGACAGUUCGGUCCCUAUCUGCCGUGGGCGCUGGAGAACUGAGGGGGGCUGCUCCUAGUACGAGAGGACCGGAGUGGACGCAUCACUGGUGUUCGGGUUGUCAUGCCAAUGGCACUGCCCGGUAGCUAAAUGCGGAAGAGAUAAGUGCUGAAAGCAUCUAAGCACGAAACUUGCCCCGAGAUGAGUUCUCCCUGACUCCUUGAGAGUCCUGAAGGAACGUUGAAGACGACGACGUUGAUAGGCCGGGUGUGUAAGCGCAGCGAUGCGUUGAGCUAACCGGUACUAAUGAACCGUGAGGCUUAACCUU
RNAcentral lists this ribosomal RNA (2904 nucleotides) under Escherichia coli 3030-1. RNAcentral's name for it is "bacterial LSU rRNA". It matches the Rfam family "Bacterial large subunit ribosomal RNA". Lineage: Bacteria; Pseudomonadati; Pseudomonadota; Gammaproteobacteria; Enterobacterales; Enterobacteriaceae. The record is from RNAcentral.